This 1407-nucleotide ribosomal RNA is filed under the name metagenome. Its description in RNAcentral is "bacterial SSU rRNA". It matches the Rfam family "Bacterial small subunit ribosomal RNA". The record is from RNAcentral.
AGAGUUUGAUUCUGGCUCAGAACGAACGCUGGCGGCAGGCUUAACACAUGCAAGUCGAACGAUAUAGUGGCAGACGGGUGAGUAACGCGUGGAAACGUGCCUUUCACUACGGAAUAGCUUUUGGAAACGAAAGGUAAUACCGUAUACGCCCUCCGGGGGAAAGAUUUAUCGGUGAAAGAUCGGUCCGCGUUAGAUUAGCUAGUUGGUGAGGUAAGAGCUCACCAAGGCGACGAUCUAUAGCUGGUCUGAGAGGAUGAUCAGCCACACUGGGACUGAGACACGGCCCAGACUCCUACGGGAGGCAGCAGUGGGGAAUAUUGCACAAUGGGCGCAAGCCUGAUGCAGCCAUGCCGCGUGAAUGAUGAAGGCCUUAGGGUUGUAAAAUUCUUUCGCUAAGGAUGAUAAUGACAGUACUUAGUAAAGAAGCCCCGGCUAACUUCGUGCCAGCAGCCGCGGUAAUACGAAGGGGGCUAGCGUUGUUCGGAAUUACUGGGCGUAAAGCGCACGUAGGCGGACUUUUAAGUCAGAUGUGAAAUCCCAAGGCUCAACCUUGGAACUGCAUUUGAAACUGGGAGUCUAGAGAUCAGGAGAGGUUAGUGGAAUACCGAGUGUAGAGGUGAAAUUCGUAGAUAUUCGGUGGAACGCCAGUGGCGAAGGCGACUAACUGGACUGAUACUGACGCUGAGGUGCGAAAGUGUGGGGAGCAAACAGGAUUAGAUACCCUGGUAGUCCACACCGUAAACGAUGAGAGCUAGUUGUCUGCAGGCAUGCCUGUAGGUGACGCAGCUAACGCAUUAAGCUCUCCGCCUGGGGAGUACGGCCGCAAGGUUAAAACUCAAAGAAAUUGACGGGGGCCCGCACAAGCGGUGGAGCAUGUGGUUUAAUUCGAAGCAACGCGCAGAACCUUACCUACGCUUGACAUGCCUGGACGACUCCGAGAGAUCGGUUUCUCCCUUCGGGGCCAGUGCACAGGUGCUGCAUGGCUGUCGUCAGCUCGUGUCGUGAGAUGUUGGGUUAAGUCCCGCAACGAGCGCAACCCUCAUCCUUAGUUGCCAUCACGUUUGGGUGGGCACUCUAGGGAAACUGCCGGUGCUAAGCCGGAGGAAGGCGGGGAUGACGUCAAGUCCUCAUGCCCUUACGCGUAGGGCUACACACGUGCUACAAUGGCAGUGACAAUGGGUUAAUCCCCAAAAGCUGUCUCAGUUCGGAUUGUCGGCUCAACUCGCCGGCAUGAAGUUGGAAUCGCUAGUAAUCGUGGAUCAGCAUGCCACGGUGAAUACGUUCCCGGGCCUUGUACACACCGCCCGUCACACCAUGGGAGUUGGAUCUACCCGAAGAUUGUGAGCUAACUUCGGAGGCAGCAAGCCACGGUAGGUUCAGCGACUGGGGUGAAGUCGUAACAAGGUA